ACAGUGACUGUCUGCCCCACAACACAUAUCCGUGGACCCCAGUACCUCUCACGAGGACAUAGCCUGGGCCAAGCACAUGGGUCCUGGGCAGCUGCCAUCGUUCCCACCCCUGGGUCAGCUCCGCCUGACUCAGGCACCCCCACAAUUAGUACAUCUUUCGUAAGUUAAAGAUGCAUUCAAAAUAAGCCUAAUUCCCAUUUUGCUUAGUGUUUUGUUUGGAAAUGCUUCUAACAAUGAUUCUUCAACUUCUACUGAAUGCACAGUAUUUACUGACACUGCUCAUCUCCUCCUUCCUCCACCUCCCUCAACAUUCAGCUUCCCCACCAUCACUUGUCUCAUUACUCCUUCUGGUCUUUCUUUCCUGGACUUUCUGCUACUUAAUCUGCUUCCCAAGAACAAGUGAAUUUACUAACAUGAAACUGGUCAGACUAACCAUCAUCUUACCAAUGAUUUCUUGGUCUCAUUUGCUCCACCCUGUUAGAAAGUGGGCCCUCUUUCUUUCACUCUACCUUCCCCUCCACAAGAAGCCCAGAUGUGCUUGCCUCCCACAAAAGAGCCACAUGCCCCAGAGUCCAAGGGUUAUCCUUAACAAAGGGUCUGACAUGUAACCUUCCUAAAUGUGCAUUUCACACUCGGACAAGCCAAUGAAGUUUUUUUUUUUUUUUUAAAGUUCAUCUCCCCUGCC
Molecule: long non-coding RNA, 685 nt
Filed under: Homo sapiens (human)
Lineage: Eukaryota; Metazoa; Chordata; Mammalia; Primates; Hominidae
Description: lncAB228.1
Source: RNAcentral